CCUUUGAGUAGAGGCGCGCUGCCUAAGAGUAUUCGGUUGGAGGGAGAUCCCCUGUGAGAGCCGAAGAAAGGAGUCAGCGCCGAAGUAAUUAUUGAGUCAUCAAUAAUCGCUGGUUCUGUAUUUAAUAAGUACAGAACUGCCAUAGUUAUGUUGUCUAUGGAGCGCUACCCUAUAG
Molecule: non-coding RNA, 175 nt
Organism: Photobacterium iliopiscarium
Lineage: Bacteria; Pseudomonadati; Pseudomonadota; Gammaproteobacteria; Vibrionales; Vibrionaceae
Source: Rfam